CUGCUUGUUGUUUUUUGUUGCAAAAAAAUCUAGUAUAAUAAUAUUUAAAUUUACAUAUAUUUUUCACGUUUUCAAUGCCAAUUGUGUGUAACGGCGAAGUUUCCCACUACCCGUGAAUGCCUCUUUUGUACGUCUCUGGCUGACUCCUGAAUCUCCGCCCACUCUCUGCUUGAUCCCUGCCGAGUGAACGAGAUCUUUGGUUUUGCCUUUGCUGACUGCUGAUCUGAUCGUCUCAAGUCUGGUGACCUGCUGCAGAAAACCCUCUCCCUCUAUCGUUGACAAGCAAUUAACAAGCAAUUUCAGUCUGUCCUAUCACUCUCCCUCUCCCUGCUCCAUCUUUUUUGACAAGCCAUUCUAUCUUCUAUCAUUUCUCCGCCAUGAGCUCUAUCUAAUUUUGACAAGCUUAAACCUGUGUUGACAAGAAAUCUAAGUUUGACAAGAAAUCUAAGUUUGACAAGAAACCAAGUUUUUGGAAAUUGAAGUUACCACAACUUCGUCGAUCUGUUUUCAGAAAUCUGAGAGAUCUCUGCUCUCACUGCUCCUUCUUUCCUGUCGUUAAACUCUCAUAUCCACUCAUUUUACUGGAAAUUACAAGUAGAACGUUGAAUAUACAGUUGUAGAAUUACAGUACAGUAGAACUCGCAGUAGAAACUACUUACACAGCCCUACAUUUGUCAUUUUAAUUUUGCAUUACACUUUGGAAUAAACAUUGAUUGGCUGUUUGGCUUACAGGUGCAAUUACUUUGAUAAAUUAUAUAAAAUAUACACCUCUUCGUAAAGGUUUAUUUGUAAUAAGACAAUCUGGUUAUUUUGUAAUUUAUACAUUCAGACUGCUGUAUUUACAUAAAUAUUAAAUUAGAUUCAAAUACAUUUUUCAAGUC
Oreochromis aureus is the source of this 881-nucleotide long non-coding RNA. RefSeq lists it as uncharacterized. The record is from RefSeq and is a predicted model, not a curated record. The transcript has 4 exons. NCBI's taxonomy places the organism in Eukaryota, Metazoa, Chordata, Actinopteri, Cichliformes, Cichlidae.